This 451-nucleotide ribosomal RNA is filed under the name uncultured Gammaproteobacteria bacterium. Its description in RNAcentral is "bacterial SSU rRNA". It matches the Rfam family "Bacterial small subunit ribosomal RNA", at positions 30 to 488 of the family's 1533-position model. The record is from RNAcentral. Lineage: Bacteria; Pseudomonadati; Pseudomonadota; Gammaproteobacteria.
AUUGAACGCUGGCGGCAGGCUUAAGACAUGCAAGUCGAACGGUAACGACACUGGCUUGCUAGUGGUCGACGAGUGGCGGACGGGUGAGUAACGCGUAGGAAUCUACCUAGUAGUGGGGGAUAGCCAAGGGAAACUUUGGGUAAUACCGCAUACGAUCUAAGGAUGAAAGGGGGCCUCUCUUUGAAGCUCUCGCUAUUAGAUGAGCCUGCGUAAGAUUAGCUUGUUGGUGGGGUAAUGGCCCACCAAGGCGACGAUCUUUAGCUGGUCUGAGAGGAUGAUCAGUCACACUGGAACUGAGACACGGUCCAGACUCCUACGGGAGGCAGCAGUCGGGAAUAUUGGACAAUGGGGGAAACCCUGAUCCAGCCAUGCCGCGUGUGUGAAGAAGGCCCUAGGGUUGUAAAGCACUUUUAGUAGUGAGAAAGGCUCAGUAGUUAAUACCUACUGGGAU